GGUGGUUUUCGGGGGACGCACCCUGGAAUCGAGCUCUCUCCUCUCUGGUUCUGGGUGUAUCACUUAAGAACCACA
Non-coding RNA from Myotis davidii, 75 nucleotides. The record is from Rfam. NCBI's taxonomy places the organism in Eukaryota, Metazoa, Chordata, Mammalia, Chiroptera, Vespertilionidae.